GACGAACGCUGGCGGCGUGCCUAAUACAUGCAAGUAGAACGCACAGUUUAUACCGUAGCUUGCUACACCAUAAACUGUGAGUUGCGAACGGGUGAGUAACGCGUAGGUAACCUGCCUGGUAGCGGGGGAUAACUAUUGGAAACGAUAGCUAAUACCGCAUAAUAUUGAUUAUUGCAUGAUAAUUGAUUGAAAGAUGCUAUUGCAUCACUACCAGAUGGACCUGCGUUGUAUUAGCUAGUAGGUGAGGUAACGGCUCACCUAGGCGACGAUACAUAGCCGACCGGAGAGGGUGAUCGGCCACACUGGGACUGAGACACGGCCCAGACUCCUACGGGAGGCAGCAGUAGGGAAUCUUCGGCAAUGGACGAAAGUCUGACCGAGCAACGCCGCGUGAGUGAAGAAGGUUGUCGGAUCGUAAAGCUCUGUUGUAAGAGAAGAACGGGUGUGAGAGUGGAAAGUUCACACUGUGACGGUAUCUUACCAGAAAGGGACGGCUAACUACGUG
RNAcentral lists this ribosomal RNA (505 nucleotides) under uncultured bacterium. RNAcentral's name for it is "partial 16S ribosomal RNA". It matches the Rfam family "Bacterial small subunit ribosomal RNA", at positions 28 to 507 of the family's 1533-position model. The record is from RNAcentral.